CAGGUUGAAGGUUGGGUAACACUAACUGGAGGACCGAACCGACUAAUGUUGAAAAAUUAGCGGAUGACCUGUGGCUGGGGGUGAAAGGCCAAUCAAACCGGGAGAUAGCUGGUUCUCCCCGAAAGCUAUUUAGGUAGCGCCUCGUGAAUUCAUCUCCGGGGGUAGAGCACUGUUUCGGCUAGGGGGCCAUCCCGGCUUACCAACCCGAUGCAAACUGCGAAUACCGGAGAAUGUUAUCACGGGAGACACACGGCGGGUGCUAACGUCCGUCGUGAAGAGGGAAACAACCCAGACCGCCAGCUAAGGUCCCAAAGUCAUGGUUAAGUGGGAAACGAUGUGGGAAGGCCCAGACAGCCAGGAUGUUGGCUUAGAAGCAGCCAUCAUUUAAAGAAAGCGUAAUAGCUCACUGGUCGAGUCGGCCUGCGCGGAAGAUGUAACGGGGCUAAACCAUGCACCGAAGCUGCGGCAGCGACACUCAGGUGUUGUUGGGUAGGGGAGCGUUCUGUAAGCCUGCGAAGGUGGCCUGUGAGGGUUGCUGGAGGUAUCAGAAGUGCGAAUGCUGACAUAAGUAACGAUAAAGCGGGUGAAAAGCCCGCUCGCCGGAAGACCAAGGGUUCCUGUCCAACGUUAAUCGGGGCAGGGUGAGUCGACCCCUAAGGCGAGGCCGAAAGGCGUAGUCGAUGGGAAACGGGUUAAUAUUCCCGUACUUGGUGUUACUGCGAAGGGGGGACGGAGAAGGCUAUGUUGGCCGGGCGACGGUUGUCCCGGUUUAAGCGUGUAGGUGUGUGUUCCAGGUAAAUCCGGUU
RNAcentral lists this ribosomal RNA (806 nucleotides) under Salmonella enterica subsp. enterica serovar Agona. Its description in RNAcentral is "partial 23S ribosomal RNA". It matches the Rfam family "Bacterial large subunit ribosomal RNA", at positions 741 to 1547 of the family's 2925-position model. The record is from RNAcentral. Lineage: Bacteria; Pseudomonadati; Pseudomonadota; Gammaproteobacteria; Enterobacterales; Enterobacteriaceae.